Paramuricea clavata is the source of this 86-nucleotide non-coding RNA. The record is from the annotation of a GenBank genome assembly. NCBI's taxonomy places the organism in Eukaryota, Metazoa, Cnidaria, Anthozoa, Malacalcyonacea, Plexauridae.
GUAGUCGUGGUCGACUGGUUAAUUAAGGCGACAGACUCGAAGUCUGUUGGGAUAUUCCCGCGCAGGUUCAAAUCCUGCCGAGUACG